Molecule: ribosomal RNA, 939 nt
Filed under: Triticum aestivum (bread wheat)
Lineage: Eukaryota; Viridiplantae; Streptophyta; Magnoliopsida; Poales; Poaceae
Description: partial small subunit ribosomal RNA
Source: RNAcentral
UUGGAGGUGGACGAGGAGGGUGAGGGCAUUGUCGACGCACCAAAAGGAAGAGCGGGCAAUUACAGCAACGUCGAUGACAUCUUACUAUGCAAUACUUGGUUGCAAGUUUCGAGGGAUCCAUCCGUUGGAGGUGAUCAAAGUAGAGAUGCUUAUUGGGGGCGGAUGAAAGAACACUUUGAUGUUCACAACUUGAGUGGAAUUCACCGCUCCGAGAGAUCACUUCGGUCCCGAUGGUCGACAAUCAACUCGGAUUGUCAAAGGUGGGCGGCCUGUCAAAAGGCGGUUGACAAGUUGAACCCAAGUGGCACAAAUGAGGACGAUAAAAACUUGUUCAAAGAAGAGGAGAGGACAACCAAGAAGGGGAAGAUCAAGAAAGGAAGGGUCUUUACCUUGCCCCAUUGCUAUAACGUGUUGAAGGAUGAUGAGAAAUGGAAGAAGCGUGAAGAUUUGGAUGAUUUGCAUUUGAGCAACAAACGCAAGCGAACAAUUAAGUUGGAUGAUGAUGAUGACGAGGAUGAUGCAUCAAGUGAUGACGGCAAGAGAAGCCCCCCACCCAACUCGGUUUCAUACUCGAAGCCAAAGCGACCGGAUGAGUGCAAGAAAGACAAAACCGAAAAGAAGAAGAGGAAAGGAGAUGAUGAGCUCAAAAAUGCUAUGGAAGCUAUUGUGAAGGCAAGAAAAGAAGCCAACGAGGUGAGGAAAAUGGCAAGGAACCAAGAUGCCGUGGCCGAGGAGAGGAGGUUGGCGGCCGAAGAGAGGAGGGUGGCGGCCGAGGAGAGGAAGGUGGCUUUGGGGGAGAGGAAGGUGAGCAAUGAGGAGCGAACUAGAUUGUUGGAAUGGGAGAAGCACUUGUUCUUCUUGGACACAUCUAACCUCAAUGCGGCGCAAAAGGAGUAUGUCAAUCUUGCCCGUGAAGACGUCUUGAUCCAAAAAAGAGCC